RNAcentral lists this ribosomal RNA (59 nucleotides) under Parazoanthus sp. 'Senegal'. RNAcentral's name for it is "partial 28S ribosomal RNA". It matches the Rfam family "Eukaryotic large subunit ribosomal RNA", at positions 1 to 56 of the family's 3401-position model. The record is from RNAcentral. Lineage: Eukaryota; Metazoa; Cnidaria; Anthozoa; Zoantharia; Parazoanthidae.
UCUUGACCUCAGAUCAGGCAAGGCUACCCGCUGAAUUUAAGCAUAUCAAUAAGCGGUGG